GAAUAAUUUAGUAGGGAAACUGGGGAAGGGCACAGGAGUUGAACAGCAUAUAAGUCAAAUUCCUGUGAUAUAUACCUGUAGAAAUGAUAUUGUCCGUCUCCCACACAAAUCUCUUCUCUAACCUCACUUAAUAAUUUCCAUCUAGAUUUUAUUUUUUUUCUUUUUCUCUCUCAUCUCUUUCAAUGUCUGCGUCACAGCUACUCACACCAACACUGUAAUCCAUCAUAUCAUCGCAAAAGCUAUUGAUUUCGCCGGUGGGUUAUUCCGGGGAACGGGUUGUUUUCAGCUUCUCUCACUUCCUUUGUUGUUUCCUUUUCAAUAUGUUAAUCCUGUUUGUACCUACGUAACUAUUAUCUUAUUUAAUUUUCUUGGAUUCUUUUUCUGUUUUUUUUUUUUUUGUUUUAAAGAAAAAGUCCUUUUCUUGGUUUGGCUUAUCAUCGAGAUCGGAUUACGUUAGUCUCCGGGAUCUGAUAUUAGUACAUGGGUUCCUUAUUAACGGCAGUUUUCGCCGGAAUCGCAUCGGUGAAGCGAGAUCCGUAUCCUCCAAACCAUUGAAGACUGCGGGAGAAAAUGAUCUAGGAAAUUUCUUUUCAUGUUUAUCUUCAUCGAUUUCUUGAUUUAUUGUCUGCUUAUGUUUUUUUUGAAUCGUAUCCAUGACUUAGAAGAAGGAAAAUACUGCAGACCUAGGAGUUUGGUAUAGUGCAUGAGGUGAUGGACACAGUCGUUAGCUGAUGCAGCAUCAUCAAGAUUCACACCCAAUGGAAGGGCAGUGAUGCAAUCUCUGCCAAAGAUUUUGAGAUGAGAAUCUUGAUGAUGCUGCAUUCGCAGUGAACGACUAAACCAGGAACAUGGUCUGCCACUACUCUCCAAUAUCUCCACUGGAGCAUAUUAUAUGUUGAUCCAAUUCUUUCCCCACGACCUCUCCAUUCUUUAGAGUUCUUGCCAUGAGAAUCCAUGUGGGAAUUUCAUUUUCAGUCGCAGACAACUCUAGUUACCAUCUCCAAGCUUGAAAUCAUGCAGUAAUUUGAGAUUGAGGAUGAACUGAAAUGGGUGUCUAUCAUCUGAUAAGUGAAGGGAUUGCAGGCUACCUCCGUUUGGUUGCUGAGAAAAUCGAGGACAAGCAAAGCAAACUUACAACUUCCAGUAAUGGGCAUGGGCAUGGACACUUGUUUGAAGUAUUGCCAUGGAUUUAACACUGUGGAUUGAGGUUGGAGCUCCUAGCCUUGUUGGGUUAAUGUUCAAGCUCUUUAGCACAUAUUUUUUUGUUGUAGAUUUAGGUGUGUAGAUCAUAGGAGACAUGUCUUGCUGCAGGUUGGUUCACUGAUACGUACUCUCAGAUACAAGCUUAGGGUACCCUAUUUUUCAAACGGCCAAUGAUGGUAGAACCGUGCCACAUUUUUACAAGCAUGUGAUUGGUUGCUUCCAGUACUUCUUAUCCAUUCCUCUUGUUUGGUAGAGAAAACCCAAACAAUGCUUUGAAAUAAAAAGAAAUCUGCCGUACACUUGAAGAUGAUGAAUGUUUUGUUAAUAGAGUACAAUUUAGCUUUGAAAAGAAAGGGAAAAAGGGAACCAGUAGAGGCCACAAAUGCAUCCACUUUCAGUACUUUCACAGCUAAAUACUAUGAUUAUGAAUUUUAGGCCGAUAUAUAUAGCUCUUAACUCAUGAGACCAAAAGGAAAUUAAUGGCAAGUGUAUGACUCGAUUUUGAUCUUGAGAUUGCAGUGGCUCUACUCAUUAACCACAUAUAUCCUCUUUGUCUUUUUGUUUUUUUUUUUCAUUUUGUGUUUAGAAUUUUUUUUUCCCAUGGAAAAAGACUACAGAAGCAAAACAACUACAAAUUCGAUCCAAAGAGGAGCACAUAAUCUUUAAAACCAAACUUUGUAAUAUCUUUAGAUGAAUUUAACCUCCAAAUGAUCUACUCUAUGGUAUAAAUAUCUUCCUUAUCUAAACCGAACUUAGUUUAUAUCACUCAUGUAGAGCUUGUACUAUACAUAUUUCUGUCAUAUGCAGUGUGAAAUGUUGUUAUUUUUCUUCUGUAUGUGUGUGGUCGGGGUGAUGGCUGGAUAAGACCUUACUAGGGUGAUGGCUGGAUAAAACCUUACUAGGAAACAAAGAAAUCAGAAGGAAACAUUUUCAUUUAAAGUUUAUAUGGUGAAAAUUUGAAAAACAAAGAAUUUGGUCUUGGACAUGUUAUGAAUGUGGGACUGAUAUUUAGUAAGAAACUAUUAUAGAUUAAGCUUUAUUUUGAGUUGAGAUUGAAGUUGGAAAUAACAUUAUUGUAGGAAUAAUAUUUUUUCUUGGAGAAUUAUAACCCUUUGAAAGUUAGAAUCCAAUAAUGGCAAAACAUGUUAGACGUCCUUUUCCAGGCCUACUGUGUUGCUUUGAGGAUCCUCCUAUAUGCAUGCUGGUGAAAAGAAUCUAGGAGAGAUCAUUGCUUGGAGAUUUCAUGGGCAUCUGAACCAACAACUUUCACUGAGGUAGGACUCUUGGGAUUUGCUUUGCCCCUUUUGUAUUAAUGUUUGAUCUGUGCAUAUCCCAUUAAUUUCCAGUCUUCUAAUGAUUCUGAUUAAGUGCGCAUGCCUAUCCCAAUAAAAAGAAAAAAACUAAUUCAUGUUCAUGGGUUUCAUGCAUAAUUUGUUGGUGGCCAUCAUGAUCUUCUUCUUCGUUUUGUUUAUCAUUGUUGUUAUCAUUAUAGGCAUGCAAGUGGAUGAGAAUUGUUGUAUCUCAGAAUCUGACCAAAUCUGUAGACUGUAGUACGACCUCCUCCUCUUCCACCUGAGUAAUAUUGAUGAUACCAAAAUAUUAAUCCAAAAGGAUUUUCAGUUUUGAGUAUGGGAACUGCUAAUCUGCUACCCAUGUAUUCUAUACAAAAUGAAGUGAAAUUAUCCCUAAAUUAAUAUUUUUAGUGAUCAAAAUGGCUUCUACUGUGACCUUUGUUUGUCCUUGAGAAUCUGCAGCUUGAUUAAAUGUGGUGUGGGUUGGAUAUUGAUCUUAUUGAAUAGCAGGUUGAACUGUAGGGACUUCCAUAUAUCACAUCUAGAAUACUUAAUCUGGAGGGAAUCUUUCACAUGAAAACAUAAGGAAGAAAGCAAGCAUGGCCAUGGUGUAAGUUCAUGAAAUGUAGAAGAGGAACAAAAACUGAUGGCAGAUAAUCACUUGGGCUUAGGUUACAAGAUACACUAUUGAUGGAUUAGAGUUCAAUAUGGAUCUUGGCAAGGAAAAUGCAAGAAUAGGAGAAGAAUAUAUACACGUGCUUUUCAUGGUUGCAUUUUGAAUUGAAUACAAUAAAAUACAAGAAAUGGACAUGGGCCCAUGGUGAUUGGGCCAGGAGCUUGGUGACAGAAUCAGAGGGCUCUGAAAUUAAUAUCGAAAGCAGGGCCGUGCCCAAUGAUCAUCAAGUCAUCUUCACGCCUUCCCAAAAUGGGGACCGUGACUUCUCCAAGUUACAUAAAUAUCCAUGCAUAAAAAAAUGUAAGGUUAAAAACAAACAUUUGAUGAUGCCAAAACAUGCAACCAUCAAUACCAAUAUUUUCUUGCUGAUUUUUUUGGACUAGUUCAAGCCAAGAAGAAACCCAGACAGUGGAAAUGCCGCCUCUAGUCUGCAGCAACCAUUCUGGGGUUGAACCGUUGAAGCCAAAUUUGCAAGGCAAAUCCCAUGGUUCCAGGAAUGAUGACGACACCAUUGCGAAUUGUGGUGGCAAGUACACAACUUGAUGUAGGUCAUGGCAGAGAGCCUGAAAGGAGUUGUUCAUCACCUUGAAGUCGGCAACUUGUCCAGAAGCUCUUAUCAGGGUGAAAGAAUGGUACAAGGUGGCAGACUUGAAGCUGAAAAUUCAAAAGCUUUGGGGGCAUUGAAAAGAAAAGGAAAAAUACUACUCUCAUUCGCCUUUCCAAGAAAAUAGAGAUGAUCAUCUUCUGUCUGCCUGUGAGGGUACGGAAGUUUUAAAAAAAUUUUGCAGUUGAUAGCCCUCUCGAAUGUACUUGCAGGAUGUGACUGGUAAGAAGUAAGAACUAAGUUCAAUUGCCCUCCUAAUAAAAAUGAUAUUACGGUGUAGUAUAAGUUGUUUACAAGGGUUAUUAGGACGAGAUUUACUUCCUACAAUUUCUUUUCGAACAACCUUUUAGUUUUCUCUCACUAUUUUCUAUUUUAAUCUUGUUGUUUAUACUUUAAUAUUUGGUUUAUAGAUAUAAUGGGACAAUUUUUUUGC
This is a long non-coding RNA of Vitis riparia (riverbank grape), 4208 nucleotides long. RefSeq lists it as uncharacterized. NCBI's taxonomy places the organism in Eukaryota, Viridiplantae, Streptophyta, Magnoliopsida, Vitales, Vitaceae. The transcript has 3 exons. The record is from RefSeq and is a predicted model, not a curated record.